This 591-nucleotide ribosomal RNA is filed under the name uncultured bacterium. Its description in RNAcentral is "partial 16S ribosomal RNA". It matches the Rfam family "Bacterial small subunit ribosomal RNA", at positions 355 to 941 of the family's 1533-position model. The record is from RNAcentral.
UGGGGAAUCUUCCGCAAUGGACGAAAGUCUGACGGAGCAACGCCGCGUGAGUGAAGAAGGUUUUCGGAUCGUAAAACUCUGUCUUUUGGGGCGAACGUGAGUAUGGUGAACAAUCAUAGUCAGUGACGGUACCAAAGGAGGAAGCCACGGCUAACUACGUGCCAGCAGCCGCGGUAAUACGUAGGUGGCAAGCGUUGUCCGGAAUUAUUGGGCGUAAAGAGCGCGUAGGCGGGAUAGUCAGUCUGUUGUAAAAGUGCGGGGCUCAACCCCGUGAUGGCAAUGGAAACAGCUAUUCUUGAGUGCAGGAGAGGAAAGUGGAAUUCCCAGUGUAGCGGUGAAAUGCGUAGAUAUUGGGAGGAACACCAGUGGCGAAGGCGACUUUCUGGACUGUGUCUGACGCUGAGGCGCGAAAGCCAGGGGAGCGAACGGGAUUAGAUACCCCGGUAGUCCUGGCCGUAAACGAUGGGUACUAGGUGUGGGAGGUAUCGACCCCUUCCGUGCCGGAGUUAACGCAAUAAGUACCCCGCCUGGGGAGUACGGUCGCAAGACUGAAACUUAAAAGGAAUUGACGGGGGUCAUAGCUGUUUCCUG